Non-coding RNA from Mycena belliarum, 94 nucleotides. The record is from the annotation of a GenBank genome assembly. NCBI's taxonomy places the organism in Eukaryota, Fungi, Basidiomycota, Agaricomycetes, Agaricales, Mycenaceae.
GGCCGUCUAGCUCAGUUGGUUAGAGCGUCGUGCUAAUAUUAUCCAUGGGUUCUUUGAUACGCGAAGGUCUUGGGUUCGACCCCCACGAUGGCCA